This is a long non-coding RNA of Helianthus annuus (common sunflower), 199 nucleotides long. RefSeq lists it as uncharacterized. The record is from RefSeq and is a predicted model, not a curated record. Lineage: Eukaryota; Viridiplantae; Streptophyta; Magnoliopsida; Asterales; Asteraceae. The transcript has 3 exons.
CUUCUCUCUCAAACUCUCUAGUGUAGCAAGAAAGCAACAAAUUUUUGGAAUUCAUUUUAUUCUUGGAUUUUCUUCUUAGAAGGAUAAACCGUUUGUUCGUUCUCUUGGAUUGUUCCAAUCUUUACUCGUACGUUCUUACAAGAAAUCGCAACGCAAUCAACGUUGAAGAUGAUGAUUGCUAUGAAAUGAAGUAGCGAUU